CUAAGAACUCUUUGCUUAAUUCUCACAGCAAACCCGCGACUUACCAUCUAUCAUUCCUUCCAUUUCACAGAGGAAGAAGUGGAGAAGAGUAGCCAGCUUUCUCAAGACCAUAAGGCUGGUCAGUGGGCUUGUCUUGUGCUUAGGAGAAGAGAAUUAGCUGCACGGAAAAACAUGAAAAGAGGCUGUUCUGGCAGAUGGAGGCUGAAAUUGAAUUGCUGCUGACUGUUGUCCCUUGUUAUGGCCUGUGGAGACAUGACAAUCGAGGAAGAACUUAAAAGAAUGUGGAGCAGCAGAGCAUGCAGCAGUGGGUGUGACCGGUGUCUGAGAC
RNAcentral lists this long non-coding RNA (328 nucleotides) under Rattus norvegicus (Norway rat). Its description in RNAcentral is "long non-coding RNA NONRATT032649". Lineage: Eukaryota; Metazoa; Chordata; Mammalia; Rodentia; Muridae. The record is from RNAcentral.